CCUACGGGUGGCAGCAGUGAGGAAUAUUGGUCAAUGGGCGGAAGCCUGAACCAGCCAAGUAGCGUGAGGGAUGACUGCCCUAUGGGUCGUAAACCGCUUUUGUACGGGGAUAACACUGUCCACGUGUGGAGGUUUGCAGGUACCGUAUGAAUAAGGGCCGGCUAAUUCCGUGCCAGCAGCCGCGGUAAUACGGAAGGUCCGAGCGUUAUCCGGAUUUAUUGGGUUUAAAGGGAGCGUAGGCGGGUCGUUAAGUCAGCCGUGAAAGUGGGGGGCUCAACCGGGACAGCGCAGUUGAAACUGGACGCCUUGAGUGCGCGAGAGGCAGGCGGAAUUCGUGGUGUAGCGGUGAAAUGCUUAGAUAUCACGAAGAACCCCGAUUGCGAAGGCAGCCUGCCGGAGUGCUACUGACGCUGAAGCUCGAAAGUGCGGGUAUCAAACAGGAUUAGAUACCCGUGUAGUC
Molecule: ribosomal RNA, 460 nt
Filed under: uncultured bacterium
Lineage: Bacteria
Description: partial 16S ribosomal RNA
Rfam family: Bacterial small subunit ribosomal RNA
Source: RNAcentral